UGGGGAAUUUUGCACAAUGGGGGAAACCCUGAUGCAGCGACGCCGCGUGAUUUAGAAGGCCUUCGGGUUGUAAAAAUCUUUUCUAUGGGAACAAAAUGACAGUACCAUAGGAAUAAGGACCGGCUAAUUACGUGCCAGCAGCCGCGGUAAUACGUAAGGUCCGAGCGUUGUCCGGAAUCAUUGGGCGUAAAGGGUACGUAGGCGGGUAAGCAAGUUAGAAGUGAAAUCCUAUAGCUCAACUAUAGUAAGCUGUUAAAACUGCUCAUCUUGAGGUAUGGAAGGGAAAGUGGAAUUCCUAGUGUAGCGGUGAAAUGCGCAGAUAUUAGGAGGAAUACCGGUGGCGAAGGCGACUUUCUGGCCAUAACCUGACGCUGAGGUACGAAAGCGUGGGUAGCAAACAGG
RNAcentral lists this ribosomal RNA (402 nucleotides) under bacterium. RNAcentral's name for it is "partial 16S ribosomal RNA". It matches the Rfam family "Bacterial small subunit ribosomal RNA", at positions 355 to 776 of the family's 1533-position model. The record is from RNAcentral.